ACACUUACCUGGAAGAGGUGAUUCCAUGAUCACAAAGAUGAUUUCCCCAAGGCAGGGCUUAUCCAUUGUACUCUGGAUGGACUGACCCCUGCCAUUUCCCCAAAUGCAGGAAACUUGACUGCAUAAUUUGAUAUAAAUAUAAUAUAAAUUAUAU
Molecule: small nuclear RNA, 154 nt
Organism: Sarcophilus harrisii (Tasmanian devil)
Lineage: Eukaryota; Metazoa; Chordata; Mammalia; Dasyuromorphia; Dasyuridae
Gene: U1
Rfam family: U1 spliceosomal RNA
About the family: U1 is a small nuclear RNA (snRNA) component of the spliceosome (involved in pre-mRNA splicing). Its 5' end forms complementary base pairs with the 5' splice junction, thus defining the 5' donor site of an intron.
Source: Ensembl